GAUGAACGCUGGCGGCGUGCCUAAUACAUGCAAGUCGAGCGAACAGACGAGGAGCUUGCUCCUCUGACGUUAGCGGCGGACGGGUGAGUAACACGUGGAUAACCUACCUAUAAGACUGGGAUAACUUCGGGAAACCGGAGCUAAUACCGGAUAAUAUAUUGAACCGCAUGGUUCAAUAGUGAAAGACGGUUUUGCUGUCACUUAUAGAUGGAUCCGCGCCGCAUUAGCUAGUUGGUAAGGUAACGGCUUACCAAGGCAACGAUGCGUAGCCGACCUGAGAGGGGGAUCGGCCACCCGGGAGGUGAGACACGGUCCAGACUCCUACGGGAGGGAGCAGUCGGGAACCUGACGCAAUGGGGGAAAGCCUGACGGAGCAGCGCCGCGUGAGUGAUGAAGGUCUUCGGAUCGUAAAACCCUGUUACUAGGGAAGAACAAAUGUGUAAGUAACUAUGCACGUCUUGACGGUACCUAAUCAGAAAGCCACGGCUAACUACGUG
Molecule: ribosomal RNA, 497 nt
Filed under: uncultured bacterium
Lineage: Bacteria
Description: partial 16S ribosomal RNA
Rfam family: Bacterial small subunit ribosomal RNA
Source: RNAcentral